Mustela putorius furo (domestic ferret) is the source of this 112-nucleotide small nucleolar RNA. The record is from Ensembl. Lineage: Eukaryota; Metazoa; Chordata; Mammalia; Carnivora; Mustelidae.
GCCCGUGCCCCUCUUCAGGAAAGUAGCAACUUGGAAGACCAUCUGGCAUGCCUGAGGUUGCUUGGGGAGAGGGCAUGUCUGUUUCUUUGCCUUCCUUUGGCUGCCUACACUC